Molecule: ribosomal RNA, 253 nt
Filed under: uncultured bacterium
Lineage: Bacteria
Description: partial 16S ribosomal RNA
Rfam family: Bacterial small subunit ribosomal RNA
Source: RNAcentral
UACGUAGGGUGCGAGCGUUAAUCGGAAUUACUGGGCGUAAAGCGUGCGCAGGCGGUUCGUUAAGUCAGAUGUGAAAGCCCCGGGCUCAACCUGGGAACUGCAUUUGAAACUGGCGGGCUUGAGUAUGGCAGAGGGGGGUGGAAUUCCGCGUGUAGCAGUGAAAUGCGUAGAGAUGUGGAGGAACACCGAUGGCGAAGGCAGCCCCCUGGGUCAACACUGACGCUCAGGCACGAAAGCGUGGGGAGCAAACAGG